GGCCGCGGGAAUUCGAUUCAGGCCUAACACAUGCAAGUCGAACGGCAGCACGGAGCUUGCUCUGGUGGCGAGUGGCGAACGGGUGAGUAAUAUAUCGGAACGUACCCUAGAGUGGGGGAUAACGUAGCGAAAGUUACGCUAAUACCGCAUACGAUCUAAGGAUGAAAGUGGGGGAUCGCAAGACCUCAUGCUCGUGGAGCGGCCGAUAUCUGAUUAGCUAGUUGGUAGGGUAAAAGCCUACCAAGGCAUCGAUCAGUAGCUGGUCUGAGAGGACGACCAGCCACACUGGAACUGAGACACGGUCCAGACUCCUACGGGAGGCAGCAGUGGGGAAUUUUGGACAAUGGGCGAAAGCCUGAUCCAUCAAGGCCGCGUGAGUGAAGAAGGCCUUCGGGUU
Molecule: ribosomal RNA, 397 nt
Filed under: uncultured bacterium
Lineage: Bacteria
Description: bacterial SSU rRNA
Rfam family: Bacterial small subunit ribosomal RNA
Source: RNAcentral